UGGUCGGGAGACUGAUCCAGCCAUGCCGCGUGCAGGAUGACUGCCCUAUGGGUUGUAAACUGCUUUUAUACGGGAAGAAACGCACCUACGUGUAGGUGUCUGACGGUACCGUAAGAAUAAGGACCGGCUAACUCCGUGCCAGCAGCCGCGGUAAUACGGAGGGUCCGAGCGUUAUCCGGAAUCAUUGGGUUUAAAGGGUCCGUAGGCGGGCCAUUAAGUCAGGGGUGAAAGUCUGCAGCUCAACUGUAGAAUUGCCUUUGAUACUGGUGGUCUUGAGUCGUUGUGAAGUGGCCGGAACAUGUGGUGUAGCGGUGAAAUGCAUAGAUAUCACAUAGAACACCGAUUGCGAAGGCAGGUCACUAACAACGUACUGACGCUGAUGGACGAAAGCGUGGGUAGCGAACGGGAUUAGAUACCCCGGUAGUCCACGCCGUAAACGAUGGAUACUAGCUGUCGGGACUUCGGUCUCGGCGGCCAAGCGAAAGUGAUAAGUAUCCCACCUGGGGAGUACGUUCGCAAGAAUGAAACUCAAAGGAAUUGACGGGGGCCCGCACAAGCGGUGGAGCAUGUGGUUUAAUUCGAUGAUACGCGAGGAACCUUACCAGGGCUUAAAUGUAGUAUGACAGGACUAGAGAUAGUUUUUUCUUCGGACAUAUUACAAGGUGCUGCAUGGUUGUCGUCAGCUCGUGCCGUGAGGUGUCAGGUUAAGUCCUAUAACGAGCGCAACCCCUACCGUUAGUUGCCAGCAUGUAAAGAUGGGGACUCUAACGGGACUGCCGGUGCAAACCGUGAGGAAGGUGGGGACGACGUCAAAUCAUCACGGCCCUUACGUCCUGGGCCACACACGUGCUACAAUGGCCGGUACAGAGGGAAGCCACCCCGUAAGGGGGCGCGGAUCUAUAAAACCGGUCACAGUUCGGAUCG
RNAcentral lists this ribosomal RNA (924 nucleotides) under Flagellimonas sp. B807. RNAcentral's name for it is "bacterial SSU rRNA". It matches the Rfam family "Bacterial small subunit ribosomal RNA", at positions 372 to 1300 of the family's 1533-position model. Lineage: Bacteria; Pseudomonadati; Bacteroidota; Flavobacteriia; Flavobacteriales; Flavobacteriaceae. The record is from RNAcentral.